GUCUCGCGCGGAAGAUGUAACGGGGCUAAACAUACCACCGAAGCUGCGGCUGCAUACUUUGUAUGCGGGGUAGGGGAGCGUUCUGUAAGCGGUUGAAGGUGUGUCGAGAGGCAUGCUGGACGUAUCAGAAGUGCGAAUGCUGACAUGAGUAACGAUAAUGGGGGUGAAAAACCCCCACGCCGAAAGACCAAGGGUUCCUAUCCCAUGCUAAUCAGGGUAGGGUAAGUCGGCCCCUAAGGCG
This 241-nucleotide ribosomal RNA is filed under the name Thalassionema frauenfeldii. Its description in RNAcentral is "partial Bacterial large subunit ribosomal RNA". It matches the Rfam family "Bacterial large subunit ribosomal RNA", at positions 1156 to 1398 of the family's 2925-position model. Lineage: Eukaryota; Bacillariophyta; Fragilariophyceae; Thalassionematales; Thalassionemataceae. The record is from RNAcentral.